RNAcentral lists this ribosomal RNA (517 nucleotides) under Lepetodrilus fucensis. Its description in RNAcentral is "SSU rRNA". It matches the Rfam family "Eukaryotic small subunit ribosomal RNA", at positions 1231 to 1753 of the family's 1831-position model. The record is from RNAcentral. Lineage: Eukaryota; Metazoa; Mollusca; Gastropoda; Lepetellida; Lepetodrilidae.
CUGGAAGGAUUGACAGAUUAAAAGCUCUUUCUUGAUUCAGUGGGUGGUGGUGCAUGGCCGUUCUUAGUUGGUGGAGUGAUUUGUCUGGUUAAUUCCGAUAACGAACGAGACUCUAGCCUGCUAACUAGUUCGCCGGCAGCUCUUGUCGCGCGGCGCCGCUUCGGCGGCAAACUUCUUAGAGGGACAGGUGGCGUUUAGCCACACGAAGUAGAGCAAUAACAGGUCUGUGAUGCCCUUAGAUGUCCGGGGCCGCACGCGCGCUACACUGAAAGAAUCAACGUGGAUGCCCACCUGCUCCGAGAGGAGUGGGAAACCCGAUGAAUCUCUUUCGUGAUGGGGAUUGGGGCUUGUAAUUGUUCCCCAUGAACGAGGAAUUCCCAGUAAGCGUCAGUCAUCAGCUGGCGCUGAUUACGUCCCUGCCCUUUGUACACACCGCCCGUCGCUACUACCGAUUGAAUGGUUUAGUGAGACCCUCGGACUGGAGUCCGUCCGCCGCUUUCGGGUGGUGGAUGGGGAC